RNAcentral lists this small RNA (104 nucleotides) under uncultured Anaerobiospirillum sp. RNAcentral's name for it is "Alpha operon ribosome binding site". It matches the Rfam family "Alpha operon ribosome binding site". Rfam says of the family: The bacterial alpha operon ribosome binding site is surrounded by this complex pseudoknotted structure. The record is from RNAcentral. Lineage: Bacteria; Pseudomonadati; Pseudomonadota; Gammaproteobacteria; Aeromonadales; Succinivibrionaceae.
CCGGCUGUCGCGUAUCCUCACGGGCUUUGCGAUGGCUUUUGUUAAACCGACCUUUCCCAAGGAGAUCAAUAGUGGCCCGUAUCGCUGGCAUCAAUGUGCCUGAU